This 306-nucleotide long non-coding RNA is filed under the name Elaeis guineensis (African oil palm). RNAcentral's name for it is "long non-coding RNA (EGUI_LNC011450)". The record is from RNAcentral. Lineage: Eukaryota; Viridiplantae; Streptophyta; Magnoliopsida; Arecales; Arecaceae.
CUAAUUUAGAUCCUCCUUUCUCUUGUGUUACUUUUUGCCUUUUUAAUUUUUUGCCACCACUGCAUCCUAAGUCUAGAGGGUGAGGCAGCUCAUGGUGCCAAGAAUGUGAAGAGAGUAGGCUUUCUAGUUUCUAAUUCCAUGUCAAAUUCACCGUGUAAAUUUGAUGGCUAUGGUUAUUAUGAUCAUUUGUUAUCCGGUGACAUCAUCAUUAUGUUGGUGGUGGUAACCAUACACGCUAUUUGAGACUUACCUCUUCCAUGCUCUAAUCUUUCAGCAAUUCAUGCAAAAGAUUUUACUUAAUAAUUU